Molecule: long non-coding RNA, 9253 nt
Organism: Oncorhynchus keta (chum salmon)
Lineage: Eukaryota; Metazoa; Chordata; Actinopteri; Salmoniformes; Salmonidae
Exons: 6
Source: RefSeq, a predicted model, not a curated record
CUUUAAGAGAAUCUACAACCUAAAACACAUUCAUGUCUACACAGAAACACGGUAUCAUUCUCCUCAGAAAAUAACAUUUUCUCUAUUCUCCACUUCAUCAGGACAUACAGUACAGUAGUAAAGUAGUACACGCUCAGGGCCAAAUCUGAACUUGAUCUGCAUGUGUGCAUAACUUUUCAUGAACGUCUGCCAGUGACAUUCAUAGGCUACAUGAUUUAGGGGAAAGUCAAGGUAAUGCGUGCAGAAAUUAAAUGAUAAGGAUAAGCCUGGAUAGCGCUACAAAAAAAGUGAUACAUUUUUGUUUAACUAAAUCAGAUGGACUGGGCAUAUUCAGGAUAGCCUGAACACAGAUGCAACAUAACAUUUAUGGGUAGCACUUUAGUAUACAGUGCUGAAAUAAGAGUUUAACGUCCGGAAAGUACCAGGAAACAACAGUGACGUAAGUCAGAAACAACCAGGUGAGAACGUGGUAGUUACUCAUUAAAAGUUAGUUUGUUGCUGCUAAAUAUUGAUAUAAAGAGUGAUGAAUCCAUUUGUAUUUGUCACAUGCGCACAAUACAACAAGUGUAGACCUUACUGUGAAAUGCUAACUUACAAGUCGUUAACUUACAUGUCGUCCAGUUAAGAGAAAUAAGAGUUAAGAAAAUAUUAACUAAAUAAACUAAAGUGAAAAAAUUAACAAGAACGAGGAUAUAUCCAGGGGGUACCGGUACCGAGUCAAUGUGCGGGGGUACAGGCUAGUCAAGGUAAUUGAGGCAACAUGUACAUGUACAGUGCAUUCGGAAAGUAUUCAGACCCCUUGUCUUUUUCCACAUUUUGUUAUGUUAAAGCCUUAUUCUAAAAUGUAUUAAACAUUUUUCCCCCCUCAUGAGUCUACACACAAUAGCCCAUAAUGACAACGCAAAACAGAUUUUUAGACAGAUUUUUAGAAAUGUAUAAAAAACACUGUAAAUAACUUAUUUACAUAAGUAUUCAGACCCUUUACUCAGUUAUUUGUUGAAGCACCUUUGGCUGCAAUUCUAGCCUCGAGUUUUCUUGGCUAUGACGCUACAAGCUUGGCAAACCUGUAUUUGGCCAGUUUCUCCCGUUCUUCUCUGCAGAGUCUCUCAAGCUCUGUCAGGUUGGAUGGGGAGCGUCGCUGUACAGGUAUUUUCAGGUCUCUCCAGAGAUGUUCUGUCGGGUUCAUGUCCGGGCUCUGGCUGGGCCACUCAAGGACAUUCAGAGACUUGUCCCGAAGCCACUCCUGCGUAGUAUUGGCUGUGUGCUUAGGGUCAUUGUCCUGUUGGAAGGUGAACCUUCACCCCAGUCUGAGGUCCUGAGAGAUCUGGAGCAGGAUUUCAUCAAGGAUCUCUCUGUUCUUUGCUCCUUUCAUCUUUCCCUCGAUCCUGAUUAGUCUCCCAGUCCCUGCCGCUGAAAAACAUCCCCACAGCAUGAUGCUGCCACCACCAUGCUUUACCAUAGGGAUGGCGCCAGGUUUCCUUCAGAUGUGAUGCUUGCCAUUCAGGCCAAAAAGUUCAAUAUUGGUUUCAUCAGACCAGAGAGUCUUGUUUCUCAUGGUCUGUGUCCUUGAGGUGCCUUUUGGCAAACUCCAAGCGGGCUGUCAUGUUCCUUUUACUGAGGAGUGGCUUCCGUCUGGCCACUCUACCAUAGAAGCCAGAUUGGCAGAGUACUGCAGAGAUGGUUGUCCUUCUGGAAGGUUCUCCCAUCUCCACAUAGGAACUCUGGAGCUCUGUCAGAGUGACCCAAUGGUUCUUGGUCAACUCCCUGACCAAGGCCCUUCUCGCCCGAUUGCUCAGUCAGGCCAGCUCUAGGAAGAGUCUUGGUGGUUCCAAACUUCUUACAUUUAAGAUUGAUGGAGGCCUCUGUGUUCUUGGGUACCUUCAAUGCUGCAGACAUUUUUUGGUACCCUUCCCCAGAUCUGUGCCUCGACACAAUCUUAUCUCGACGCUCUACUGACAAGUCCUUCAACCUCAUGGCUUGGUUUUUGCUCUGACAUUCACUGUCAACUGUGGGACCUUAAAUAGACAGGUGUGUGACUUUCCAAAUCAUGCCCAAUCAAUUGAGUGUACCACAGGUGGACUCAAGUUGUAGAAACAUCUCAAGGAUGAUCAGUGGAAACAGGAUGCACCUGGGCUCAAUUUCGAGUCUCAUAGCAAAGGGUCUGAAUACUUUGUAAAUAAGGCAUUUCUGUUCCAACAUAAAAAAAAAACUGUUUUCACUUUCUAAUUAUGGGGUAUUGUGUGUAGAUUGAUGAGGGGGAAAUAAAAUAAAAAUAGCUAUUUUAGAAUCAGACUGAAAUGUAACAAAAUGUAGAAAAAGUCCACAUUGAAUACAUGAAUACUUUCCAAAUGCACUGUAGGUAGGGGAAAAUGUACAAUGCAUAGAUAAUAAACAGUGGGUAGCAGCAGAAUAUAAAAAGUCUAGGUCAAUGCUAAUAGUCCAGGAAACCAUUUGUUUAACUUUUCAGCAGUCUUAUGGUUUGGGGGUAGAAGCUGUUAAGGAACCUUUUGGAGCUAGACUUGGCGCUCUGGUCGUGCUUACCAUGAGGCAGCAGAGAGAACAGUCUAUAACUAGGGUGUCUGGAGUCUUUGACAAUUUUAGGGCCUUCUUUUGACACCUCCUGGUAUAGAAGUCCCGGAUGGCAGGAAGCUUGGUCCCGGUGAUGUACCCUCUGUAACUCCUUGUGGUCUGCUGCCGAGCAGUUGCCAUACCAUGCAACCGGUCAGGAUGCUCCCGAUGGUGCAGCUGGUGAAUGUUUUGAGGAUCUGAGGACCCAUGCCAAAUCAUUUUCAGUCUCCUGAGGGGGAAUUGGCAUUGUCGUGCCCUCUUCACGACUGUCUUGGUGUGUAUGUACCAUGAUAGUGUCGUGACAUGACUAUCAUUAAUGUGUUGAUGGCUAUUUUAUCAAAUCAAUUAACUGUGUUGAAUUAAUACAUUAUUAACAAUGAACUCAUUAGUAAGUUGGGGCACCAUGGGAAAAGUUUGUUUUAUGAGUUACUGUUUCCCGAAUUAACUGAAGAAUAUAUUAGAAUAUGUCAUACCAGUCAUCCAUUAAUAAUUAUUUCCUCAUAUCAGUCUCAUUCUAACAUUGCAAAAUUCUUGGAUAUCUGCAGGAACCCAAGUCUAAAUAAGGAUUCAGAGAUGCACAAAUCGGUUUAAUUAUUUAUUUACUAACUAAAUGAUCACACAGACAUACACAAACAGUAUAGGUUGAAUUGAUUUCUAACAUAAUGCAAUGAAAGGUCCCUAGUGGACUAACUCGAUAUGAUGGCUUGUUACACCGUGAAAGGGGUGGGGACAGAAAGAGUGGGAGAGACAGAGAGUUGGAAAAAUAUGCUCAUGGGAAUGUGAAUACAUUUCACAUGAAUGACUGCUCAUUCGAAAAUAAUUGCAAUGUAUAUAUUCAUGCUUGUAUGGUUUUGUCGUUGCUCUCUGUUGACAUCGCCCGGCCCGUCUAUGGGGAGUCGUUCGACAGAAGUCUCUGGUUUGUCCACCAGAGGUAACGAUGUCUUUUGUAGUUGUAGUAGGCUUUCUUUGUCUCUGAGUGUUAGUUAGACUGGAUCCUUCAGAUAUACACACGCGGUGGUCUUUGGGUUGAGUUUACUAGACUAACAGUACUUAAACAGCUGCAGACUGAAUGUUCCGAUGUAGUCUUUAUUUCUAAACAUUUCGUAACGUUCAGCUCACGCUGUUGGUCACGCUGGUCUAUAUUUAAAUUGCAUCCAUUUCAACGUUUUUAGCCCGCGCUCCAUGCUUUCUGGUCUGUAUGUUAAUUAUUCAGCAAGUCCUUUUAAGCACUCGCCUUGGAGGGCGGUUUCUUCAUGUUGCCACAAAAUCACAUUUAAUCUUUUCACAAAUAGUUUCAUAUUUAAUCAUAUAAAGUUGGUGAAGACGAAUGUUCUGAAUGGACUCUAAAAUUGGAGCGGAGGAUACGUGUGUGAAUGAUAAGGAAUCGCUUCUAUUUGGGAUGCUUUUGUUGAGUAAGGGUGCAUAUGUGGGAGACCCGUUUGAGGUGUCGAAAAUGGUGAAGUAUGCACUGGGAAAAGUGGAGUUUGUCAGAGUGACCUGGAAUUGUUUAAUUUGGAUUAAUUGUAUUUAUGAAGAACAGAGAUUGCAGUGAGCCUUAAAAUAAUCUGGACAGGGCCUCCUGAGUGGCGCAGCGGUCUAAAGCACUGCAUCGCAGUGCUAGAGGCGUCAUUACAGACCCUGGUUCUGUGCCACAGCCAGCUGCGACCGGGAGGCCCAUGAGGCGACGUGCAAUUGGUCCAGCGUCGUCCGGGUUAGGGGAGGGUUUGGCCGGCCGGGUUGUCCUUGUCCCACUGCUUUAGAGACUUCUGUGGCGGGCCGGACGCAUGCACGCUGACUUCAGUCGCCAGUUGUACGGUGUUUCCUUCGACACAUUGGUGCGACUGGCUUCCGGGUUAAGCGAGCAGUGUGUCAAGAAGCAGUGUGGCUUGGCAGGGCUAUGUUUCGGAGGACGCAUGGAUCUCGAACCUUCGCCUCUCCCGAGUUUCAGCGAUGGGACAGGACUGUCACUAGCAAUUGGAUAUCACGAAAUUGGGGAGAAAAAGGGGGUAAAAAGUAAAAUAUAUAUAUAACAUCCGGACAAUAGAAGUUUUGUGUUUUAAACUUCGGAGUAGAUCACCCAUCAAAGGAGUCAUGUCCGAGGUGACGACGGAUGUUCAGGUUCAAUACCUGAAGAGAAUUCCUAGUGUGGUUGGUGCCCGCCGUUUAGUUUAGUUUAUUUAUUUAUUUUUGGAGUUUGCUAGUUUGUUCCAUUUUCAGGAAUCCUGUUUCCAUCCCGCACGGUAGUUGGUGGGAUGCACAUUAAAUUGCGCGAUCACCAUAUACCAUAGAAGAAGAAGACAUGUUUUGAGAAGAAUAAACAUUAUGAAAUGGACGAAAGAGGACAAUGUAUUGGCAGGACAAAACACUCUUUCCCGACUGGUGUGAGGUCUAUCUACAGGUGACCAGGUGGACCUCUUCACCAGGCAGGCCUUCGCUGCAGUCUUACAUCACCAGCAAAGGUCUCUGAUGAGGUACUUUAUAUUAAGAUUGUGCUUCCAACCUGCCGCCAGGAUAUCUCAGCAUCCACGAGGGCAUCAUCAAGGUAAGGGUAGGAGAGGGGAAGGUAGGACAGAGAAGGGACGGGGAAGGGAAUAUAAUAGAAUUCUGAGUGAUUCACAUUUAAACGUCAUCCAUGUAAACCACUGCCUCCGACCAGUAAUGGUCUCUACUCAGCCUCAAUAAAGAUGUAGCUGUUUUCCGGGUUCCUUAGAUACUAUGUUUUUUAUUCAGCAUUCUGGUCCAGUGAUUAAAUGGGUUGAUGUAGGGAAGCCAUUAUUAGGUGUCAACUCACCUGGUCCCUACUGAGUGUCUACACACAGGUCUGUACUACUCACCAAAUCAGUAAGGGUGUGUCUGUGACAAAUCUAAUUGUAUUUGUCACGUGCGCCGAAUACAACAGGUGAAAUGUUUACUUUACAAGCCCCUAACCAACAAUGCAGUAAAAAAAUAAGUAAUAAUAAUAAUAAUAAGAAGAAGAAGAAAUACAAGUAAAAAGUAAUUAAAGAGCAGCAGUAAAAUAACAAUAGUGAGACUAUAUACAGCGGGGUACCUGUACAGAGUCAAUGUGCAGGGGCACCGGUUAGCUGAGGUAAUAUGUACAUGUGGGUAGAGUUAUUAAAGUGGCUAUGCAUAGAUGAUAACAACAGAGAGUAGCAGCUGUGUAAAAGAGGGAGGGGCAAUGCAAAUAGUCUGGGUAGCAAUUUGAUUAGGUGUUCUGGAGUCUUAUGGCUUGACGGUAGAAGCUGUUUAGAAGCCUCUUGGACCUAGACUUGGCGUUCCGGUACCGCUUCCCGUGCGGUAGCAGAGUGACCAGCCUAUGACUAGGGUGGCUGGAGUUUUCACGACUGUCUUGGUGUGCUUGGACCAUGUUAGUUUGUUGGUGAUGUGGACACCAAGGAACUUCAAGCUCUCAACCUGCGCCACUACAGCCCUGUCCAUGAGAAUGGGGGCGUGCUUGGUCCUCUUUUUCCUGUAGUCCACAGAGAGGUUGUUUUCCUGACACAACACGGCCAGGUCUCUGACCUCCCUAUAGGCUGUCUCGUCGUUGUCGGUGAUCAGGCCUACCACUGUUGUGUCAUUGGCAAACUUAUUGAUGGUGUUGGAGUCGUGCCUGGCCGUGCAGUUAUGAGUGAACAGGGAGUACAGGAGGGGACUGAGCACGCACCCCUGAGGGGCCCCUGUGUUGAGGAUCAGCGUGGCGGAUGUGUUGUUACCUACCCUUACCACCUGGGGGCGGCCUGUCAGGAAGUCCAGGAUCCAGUUGCAGAGGGAGGUGUUUAGUCCCAGGGUCCUUAGCUUAGUGAUGAGCUAUGAAGGCACUAUGGUGUUGAACACUGAGCUGAUGUCAAUGAAUAGCAUUCUCACAAAGGUGUUCCUUUUGUUCAGGUGGGAAAAGGAAGUAUGGAGUACAAUAGAGAUUGCAUCAUCUGUGGAUCUGUUAGGGCGGUAUGCAAAUUGAGUGGGUCUAGGGUUUAUGGGAUAAUGGUGUUGAUGUGAGCCAUGACCAACCAAUGUGAGUGCUACGGGUCGAUAGUCAUUUAGGCAGCUUACCUUAGUGUUCUUGGGCACCGGGACUGUGGUGGUCUGCUUAAAACAUGUUGGUAUUCCAGACUCAGACAGGGAGAGGUUGAAAAUGUCAUUGAAGACACUUGCCAGUUGGUCAGCGCAUGCUUGCAGUACACAUCCUGGUAAUCCGUCUGGCAGCCUUGUGGAUGUUGACCUGUCUAAAGGUCUUCCUCACAUUGGCUGCUGAGAGCGUUCCUCACAUGCUCUUCCGGAACAGCUGGUGCUCUCAUGCAUGUUUCAGUGUUAUUUGCCUCGAAGCGAGCAUAGACGUAGUUUAGCUUGUCUGGUAGGCUCGUGUUACUGGUUUGCAAGCCCUGCCACAUUCAACGAGCGUCAGAGCCGUUGUAGUACGAUUCGAUCUUAGUCCUGUAUUGAUGCUUUUCCUUUUUGAUGGUUCGUCUGAGUCCUGCUCCUUGAAUGAGGCAGCUCUAGCCUUUAGCUCAGUGCGGAUGUUGCCUGUAAUCCAUGGCUUCUGGUUGGGGUAUUACGUACAGUCACUGUGGGGACAACGUCAUCGAUGCACUUAUUGAUGAAGCCAAUGACUGAUGUGGUGUACUCCUCAAUGCUUAGACUUGGUGCUCCAGUACCGAUUGCUGUGCGGUAGCAGGGAGAACAGUCUAUGACUAGGGUGGCUGGAGUCUUUGACAAUUUUUAGGGCCUUCCUCUGACACCGCCUGGUAUAGAGGUCCUGGAUGGCAGGAAGCUUGGCCCCGGUGAUGUACUGGGCCAUGCGCUCUACCCUCUGGAGUACCUUGAGGUCGGAGGCCGAGCAGUUGCCAUACCAGGUAGUGAUGUUUUUUUUUAUAAACCAGAUUUGCUGUUCACUUGAGCAAUAUGAGAUGGAAGAGUUCCGUGCAAUAAUGGCUCUAUAUAAUACUGUACACUUUCUUGAUAUUUUAAAUAGGUUGAAAGCUAAGAUUAAUACUGGCUGUUCCUCUGUUUCCAGAGUGAUGGUUCAUAUUGUAGCUCACGAGUAGGGACUGGAACAUCAUCUCAGGUCCUAUGUGAAGUUUGUGUUCAAGCCAGAGCCGAACUCAGCCAGUGGGAUCCCUAACCCUCAGAGUGUCAUUGAGGAGCUGGCUAAAGCCAUGACAGCCAACCUCAACCCCUCCACUUACUUCCUCACCAGCAACAAACUGCUACUCGUGGUACUUCGUAGAAGCCCUGGUGAAGUCUAUGGCCCAGCAUAGGACCCAGAGUGGUAAAUUCAACCUGUCUAGCAAACCAAGUUUCUCUGCCUUCCUUCCACCACACAGUAGAGAAAAAUGCAGAGGCCUCACAUCAACAAGAACUGCAAGGACAAACUGGAUGCUUCCCGAAACGCCAACCACAGUCUGGCAGUCUUGGAGUGCCAUAGACAGCCAACAAAACAGUUGUUGGUUUCAUUCAGAAAAUUGCCACAUUUAGUUCUAUGGUAAUGCUAUUUUCAUGUUAUGAGGACUGAUGACUUAUUGUAUGCUACACGCAGCAAAAUAAAUAUGUGCACCCUAUACUAUCAGGGUAGAUUAUUGGUGUUUCUUGUGCUAUGUAGCAACUAUUUGCUAGUAAUUUAAAUAAUAAACAACUGUAUUCUGUCCUAUUAAUGUAGUUCCGUUUAGGAAAUGAGUAUCUUCAUUAUUUAUUAUUGUAGUGUUAAUCUACCUGUGAAAAUCUGAAGAAAACAGAAACUAAGGUGAACGUAAUAGUAAUUUAAACAAUAACAGGGAAACAGAGCAUUGCUUUAGAAUACAGUGUCAAGACCCCAUAGGUACACUGAAGCUAUGGGGAAACUGUACAGAAAGUAAGCUACACUGAAACAAUGGACAUAGUAAUUGACACGGUAACGGGAACAGGGCAUUGCUUUAGAAUACAGUGUCAAGGCCCCACAGGUACACUGAUACUAUGGGGAAACUAUCCAGGAAGAAACAGUAAGGCACACAAACUGAUGAAAGUAGUAAGGAAUCUAAUAGUAAUUUACAGGGGAACAGAGCGUUGCUUUAGAAUACAGUGUCUUGGCCCCAUAGGUACACUGAAACAAUAUGGUGAAACUACGCCUAAAGUAACAAAUAAGGUACAUAAUAUGUACUUAAGUACAGUGCUGAAAUAACUGUACAAUGAUCGGAAAGUAAUCGGAAACAAGACAAAAGGCAGCUAGCUACAAGCAAAGACCUAAAAGGGACGUUUUUAGGAUGGUCCACAUAAAGCAUAAGUGAAAGCUCCAUGUACAUUCGUAAUAAGUAUACCCUCUAUUAUUGAUAGUUCUUUAUGUUCCUACAUAACAACCAGGAUAAUUCAUCACUCUUUAUAUCAGUACUUAGCAGCUACAAACAACAUAUGAAUGGAUAAUUGGUGUUCAUGCCUGGUUGUUGCCAUCUUAUUUCAUUGUUUUUUUCAAGGUACUUUCCAGACAUCACCCUCUUAUUCAGCUAUCCUUGUGACCUAAGCCACCCUGCUAUUUCCUGUUUCCUGUGUUCCUCCGCCCUCGAAUUAGAGGAGAGCUGAGUAAAUGUAACCCAAUCAGCUUCAAGCUUUCAGCCUCUCUAGUAAUAGUAUUUUAUGUUCUCUUCCUGUGCAGGGGGAUUAUUUGAUAAAACAAUGAAUUUGUCCUUACUGCCAUUAGCCCAUAGAAACACAUUCAAUA